GUGGGGAAUUUUGGACAAUGGGCGCAAGCCUGAUCCAGCAAUGCCGCGUGCAGGAAGAAGGCCUUCGGGUUGUAAACUGCUUUUGUACGGAACGAAACGGUCCGGGUUAAUACCCUGGGCUAAUGACGGUACCGUAAGAAUAAGCACCGGCUAACUACCUGCCAGCAGCCGCGGUAAUACGUAGGGUGCAAGCGUUAAUCGGAAUUACUGGGCGUAAAGCGUGCGCAGGCGGUUGUGUAAGACAGGCGUGAAAUCCCCGGGCUCAACCUGGGAAUUGCGCUUGUGACUGCACAGCUGGAGUGCGGCAGAGGGGGAUGGAAUUCCGCGUGUAGCAGUGAAAUGCGUAGAUAUGCGGAGGAACACCGAUGGCGAAGGCAAUCCCCUGGGCCUGCACUGACGCUCAUGCACGAAAGCGUGGGGAGCAAACAGGAUUAGAUACCCGUGUAGUCC
RNAcentral lists this ribosomal RNA (450 nucleotides) under uncultured bacterium. RNAcentral describes it as "partial 16S ribosomal RNA". It matches the Rfam family "Bacterial small subunit ribosomal RNA", at positions 354 to 796 of the family's 1533-position model. The record is from RNAcentral.